RNAcentral lists this ribosomal RNA (253 nucleotides) under uncultured bacterium. RNAcentral describes it as "partial 16S ribosomal RNA". It matches the Rfam family "Bacterial small subunit ribosomal RNA", at positions 524 to 776 of the family's 1533-position model. The record is from RNAcentral.
UACGUAGGGGGCAAGCGUUAUCCGGAUUUACUGGGUGUAAAGGGAGCGUAGACGGCAGUGCAAGUCUGAAGUGAAAGGCGGGGGCCCAACCCCCGGACUGCUUUGGAAACUGUGCUGCUGGAGUGCAGGAGAGGCAAGUGGAAUUCCUAGUGUAGCGGUGAAAUGCGUAGAUAUUAGGAAGAACACCAGUGGCGAAGGCGGCUUUCUGGACUGAAACUGACGCUGAGGCACGAAAGCGUGGGGAGCGAACAGG